RNAcentral lists this long non-coding RNA (354 nucleotides) under Homo sapiens (human). RNAcentral's name for it is "HSALNT0178099". Lineage: Eukaryota; Metazoa; Chordata; Mammalia; Primates; Hominidae. The record is from RNAcentral.
AGGUGGGGAAAUUGGAACAGGGGAACAGGAGUGGAAAAUUAUGGUCUUACUUGGGCUGAAAAUAGCAUGAGGCAUCAGGGCAGGAACUUCACCCACAAGGCAAGUGGCCUGGGCACUGAGCAGCAAGGUGGGACGUGCAUACCAAGGGGCCAGGCAGUCCAACUGGGUUCCAGAGGUGCCCCUGGUUCACCCAGGGUCUCCAGUAUCCACCCCCACCUGUGCCUGCCACAGGAUUAGAUGGUGAACGAGCCCCUCCUGUGUCCUUGUGGAGUGGCUCGGGCCUGUGGGAAAGGCUCAAGGGUGGUUUGUAACAGGCAAUCAUUAAGAAAGCUCAAGAGGGGCCGGGUGCGGUGG